This 229-nucleotide unclassified non-coding RNA is filed under the name plant metagenome. RNAcentral's name for it is "partial contains small subunit ribosomal RNA, internal transcribed spacer 1, and 5.8S ribosomal RNA". The record is from RNAcentral.
UCUCCGUAGGUGAACCUGCGGAGGGAUCAUUACAGAGUUCAUGCCCUACCGGGUAGAUCUCCCACCCUAUGUUAUUAUUACUUUGUUGCUUUGGCGGGCCGUUAGGCUCCGGCCCGACUACCGGCCCCGGCUGGUAAGCGCCCGCCAGAGGACCCAAAACCCUGAAUAUUAGUGUCGUCUGAGUACUAUAUAAUAGUUAAAACUUUCAGCAACGGAUCUCUUGGUUCUG